Molecule: ribosomal RNA, 375 nt
Filed under: Triticum aestivum (bread wheat)
Lineage: Eukaryota; Viridiplantae; Streptophyta; Magnoliopsida; Poales; Poaceae
Description: partial small subunit ribosomal RNA
Source: RNAcentral
AUGGAAAAAAUGAAGGACGCGCCGGUACCAGAAGGUGAAGAGCCAAAGUCUACUGUUGAAAUUGUCGAAGAAGUGCUGUUGAAAUCUGUCAAGCAAAGCACAUUCCUCACGAAUGUUGGGCUCCAGUCAUCUAGGAACAACUCUGGCAAAGCAACUGCUGAAGUGGCUGCUCAUGUUCGUGACCUUGGGCAGAAGCUGGAGAGGUCCGAGCUUCAAGCUGAAGUGAUGCAAGAAGAAUUGGCGGCAAUCAAGAUGAAGGCGGAAGAAUCUAAAGCUGCACGCGACAAGGAACUUGAGCUGUUGCGCAAGAAGUCUCAAGAACAGGAAGAGAAGUUAGCCCACUUGAUGGCUCUCUUUGGAGCUAAGGUAGUUUGA